This is a small nucleolar RNA of Tripterygium wilfordii, 107 nucleotides long. The record is from RefSeq and is a predicted model, not a curated record. Lineage: Eukaryota; Viridiplantae; Streptophyta; Magnoliopsida; Celastrales; Celastraceae.
AAGCCAUGAUGGGGACAUAUGAAUAACAAAUCUUUAAACCUAUCCCAUGUUUGGAAAAAGGUUUCAUUUUCUUUACAUGCAAAGUUCAUGAUUUGAUUUUGAAAUGC